CAGCAGAAAAGGAGACCAUCCAUCGCAGUGAGAAAUGUAGUGGAAACAUCCUCCCUUUGCAGUACGAGGGUGUGGGAAAAGCUGAGCACCGUCUCCUGGAAGCAGCAAACACAAACCCGCGGCGGCAACAGAUGCUGGACCUGCUGCCUCACCUGGGAGCGCCGUGGAAGAGCCUGCUGCUGCUUGGCCACUCCUCUGCCCUGCCGUGUGGCUGGUGCCCCUGGGGCUUGGCCAUAGGAUGCCUCUAAAUCCAGUACUUCAGGGUCAGCUGCCCCUCAGCCCCCCGCCACCUGCAGACCUGCUGAGCAGAGGGAUGCAUCUCCUCACCCUGCAGCCUCUCUGCAUGGGUGAUGCUUCCCCUUUCCUGCCUCUUCCCUCACACCUGGUGCUCUCUCCGGUGCUGUUUGCAGUGGAUCUCGUACUUACUGACCCGCCAGCCAGUGCUGGUGGCCCAGGUGGUGAAAGGUGUGGGCUUUGCUGUUCCUCUCAAAAAUUGCAGAGGAGACAGAGAGGGAUCCUUGGAAGUGCUGUAGAUGCAUGUGUAGGACCAAUGUGUGCCAUGCUCUCCUCUGUUGUGUUCAGUUCAGUUCUGUUCUAUUCUAUUCCAUCCCAUCCCAUCCCAUCGCAUCCCCAGGAGCCGACAGAAAUCCUGCCUGGUGGAAGGGGUGUAGGGAUGAGGGGCUCUGCUCUGGAUUUGUUUCUGUGCAGGAGCACGAGCUGUCCUAGGCUUGCUUUUUUUCACCACUAGAUUUGUGAUGGGAUGCACAGCAUGGCUCCAUUUCCCAACCCAGCCUCUUUCCCUCUCCCCUCCUUCCAUGCCUACCCAAUGUUUUUAUGAAUCUGGUGGGUUUGCCUGAGUGGGAGCUCAAGCAUUACCCUAUCCUUGUAGUGUGGGUACACUGGAAAACAGACAUGGUCCUGGGAUGUGUGCAUCAGUGAUGACCCAUGGGUUGUCCUUCUUAUGUGUUUAUGUGCAUCCCCGCCCCCCUCUGCAUGUUCCCUGCAUCUUCCUUCACAAUUUCAUUUCUUUUGCCUCUCCUUGGUGCCCUUUCUUCCUCCUCUCUCACCCUCUCUCUCUUUCUCCUGCCCUCCUCCUCAUUCUCUUUUCUCAUUUGAUAUUCAUGCAUGAAUAAAUUCAAUUGCAUUUUUUUCCCUGUUCCCCCUGAAGGGGCUUGUUGGUGAAUUGCAGGCAUCUGAAAUCAUAUAAUGCUCAGAUUCAUCAUUUCAGGGACAAAAUUGAAGCCCUUCUGCUUCCCAAGAAGAAAUAGCAGAUGUCUUUUUAUGAGGAGAGCCCUCCUUGUGCACCUUAAGGAUCCUCUGAGGGCUGAGUUCAUCUUUCAGGAGAAGAAACAAGAUUAGACACUCCAUAAAACACAGCCCUAUUCUGCUGCUGCCUCUGAUCCAACGGCACUGCAGGGCCUUGCGAGGGGCCGUGGCAGGGCCAGCCACUGUCUUGAGGCUCAAGGGACUUUAACCUAGGUGGCAAAACCAGCCCUGGGCUCCGUGGCUUCUGCUCAAUGCCUGUGGCAAAGCCAAGCCAAGCCAUGUGGGGAUGGAGGGUGGUUUUCACUCUAGAUUGUGGCUUUACCAGAAGGUGGGCCUGCUCCGUGUCUGUCCCACAGAGAGUUAACAUCAGAGGGCCUGUUUCGCAGUCAGAUCGAAGUGCCUGCUUUCCCAGCCAUUUUUAGGUCAGAAGUGUUAAUUACCCUGACCCAGCUAUUCCAACCGUGAGCACAAAGUCUGCGUCAGCUGGCACAGUCUUCGUCUUGGUGGGGAAGAGCCGGAGAAGAAUCUG
This is a long non-coding RNA of Oxyura jamaicensis (ruddy duck), 1795 nucleotides long. RefSeq lists it as uncharacterized. Lineage: Eukaryota; Metazoa; Chordata; Aves; Anseriformes; Anatidae. The transcript has 3 exons. The record is from RefSeq and is a predicted model, not a curated record.